This 403-nucleotide ribosomal RNA is filed under the name uncultured bacterium. RNAcentral's name for it is "partial 16S ribosomal RNA". It matches the Rfam family "Bacterial small subunit ribosomal RNA", at positions 30 to 526 of the family's 1533-position model. The record is from RNAcentral.
AUUGAACGCUGGCGGCAUGCCUAACACAUGCAAGUCGAGCGAGCGGCGGACGGGUGAUUAAUGUAUGGGGACUGCCCGAUAGAGGGUGAUAACUACUGGAAACGGUUGCUAAUACCGCAUACUAUCGGAUAACCCAUAUGGGAUUAGCUAGUAGGUGGGGUAAAGGCUCACCUAGGCGACGUUCUCUAGCUGGUCUGUGAGGAUGAUCAGCCGCAUUGGGAGUGAGACACGGACCAGACUCCUACGGAGGGAGCAGUGGGGAAUAGUGCACAAUGGGCGGAAGCAUGAUGCAGCCGUGCCGCGUGUAUGAAGAAGGCCUUAGGGUUGGAAAGUACUUUCAGCGGGGAGGCGUUACACGCAGAAGAAGCACCGGCUAACUCCGUGCCAGCAGCCGCGGUAAUUC